AAGAAUAAUACAAUGGACUUUGGGGACUUGGGGGGAAGAGUGGGAGUGGGGUGAGGGAUAAAGGACAACAUAUAUGGUGCAGUAUAUACUGCUGGGGUGAUGGGUGCACCAAAAUCUCAGAAAUCACCACUGAAAACCUUAUCCAUCUAACCAAACACCUCCAGUUACCCCAAAACCUAUUGAAAUUAA
Molecule: long non-coding RNA, 189 nt
Organism: Sapajus apella (tufted capuchin)
Lineage: Eukaryota; Metazoa; Chordata; Mammalia; Primates; Cebidae
Exons: 2
Source: RefSeq, a predicted model, not a curated record